UAGUGAAAGGGUUAAUGUUGUAAUGGACUCUAAUCCCCUCGGUUCUCGUUCCCUCGGUCACCAUAAUCAACGUUGAUGGAGGAUCAUUGUAAGCAUUAACACACGGACAACAGCUUUACAAGACUCUCAAAUGAGUGUAUUCCAGAGCUGGCUUUUAUACAUAGUUUGCUUACAUUAGCCAUGGUAUAUGCAAAUACAGUACAGACUAUAAGAUUUAUUACUUCCUUAUAUUACGUUAUUCUGACAAUGGAAAGAUAAGCUUUUGCAUACGUCUGGAAAAGAAUAUCCUUAAAAUCGGAAUGGGCAAGACAUCCUGAAAUUUAGCAUUGUCUUACAUCCUAUAGAAGAAAUACCUUAGUCUGUCACAGUCAGCAUAUUAUGUACAAUAUCCCUUCAGUCAGCAAUAAUCAUGUUAUAAACCUUAUAAAAGCAUAAAAUACAUAUAAACAAGUUAACUAUUUAAUAUUCUUACAUUCCCCUCUUUGAGCAAUAAAACAAUUGCUCAUCUUAUCGAUAAAAUCUUACCAGGACAGAGAAACUUCCACAUGGUAUUUUCAGGGGUGCUAGUCACUCCCUGCGGGACUUUCAUUAAUUUCUUCACCUCGAUUCCCAUGUGGUAAUUCCUAAGGCCCAGUUUAAAGAUGGGUUGAUACCCUCCAGUGGCAGAGAGGAGAAUUUCUAAUUGUUUCUGUUCUGCAUUAUGGAUUCAUUUCUGUACUCUCUUCCUCAAUGUACAAGUAAGGUGACAGUUAUAUAAAAUCAUACACAAUAAAAUCAGGACUAUAAUAACAAAAUGAUAGAAGAAUGAUUUCAUUAUCUGAGAUCCAGUAGGGGACCAACCAGUGAAGCAUCGUACCAAUGAUGGGCUAAAUCAUUCUGAAUUUGUGAACUCACCUUAAGGAGUUCUCCUUUUAGGAUAUGUGUGGCUACCUGUGUGUGUUAUCUUUGGGAAAAAUAUAGUCCCCUGUGUAUGUGGGUGCCCACCAGGUUAAAUUCUUGGCAAAAAGAUCAUAAACUGGUACUGGUAAUGUGUUAAAUUGACAAGCUAAUUUAACAUCCUUUGAUGAUGUAUGAUAUAAUGUAAAAUAGCAAGAGCAUGAAAAAAUGUGAAGCAUUACCAGUUAACCAUCCAUUGCAUUUAGUGGAUUGGGGUUUUAGAAGUAACCAUUCAUUAUCUGUGAGGUUAAGCAUCCCUCUAAUCUUCUCUAGUUUAGGAAUCAUUAGUGUGUUUUCUAAUGCCAAUCCUUGUUGUAUCCAUAAAUACCUGAUGGCACAAGUACUCCAGUUACUUAGACCUGUUGUGAAUUUCAUAGUUGCAACAGUUAAAUUAUCUAAAUCCAAUCCUAUAACCUGUGAUUUAACAACAAUUGGAGCCCAAUUUGCACUAGCAUGAAAACCAGUCCCUAUAUGCAUGCUGGCUGUGUUUAACUUAUUCUUGAGGGUCUCCAUAUCUAUAACUAUUUAGUAUACCCAUAGUGGUUCCAGCACCAUCUAACAGUGUGUCAUACCAUUCCCUUUUCUGCCUUUGUUUGUUGUAUUACAUAAUGUUACAACAAGAGUAGUGACUUUUAAUGACACAUGUACAGCUUGUAAGAAGGCAGUUGUAUUAACACAUGUGGACGGAAUAGGUGUGUGUGUGUCGUUGUUGACUUUUGGUUCUAUGGUAGAGGAUAAAGGACAGUAAUAAGGUGUAAAAAUAUAAGGUAGUGUAUAGUUCUCAAUUGUAGUGUUGUUCAUAAUGACUAACAUUUGUCCCCUUCUCCAAUUAAUGAUACCAGUUAUAUAAUCAUUAUUAAAAGUAAUAAGGCCUAUCUGUUUACAUUGAUAUGCAACCUUAACUGUGCACAUUUCUGCGUUAUAAGAUCUAACAAUUUUCUGUGAACCUUUAAACAAACAUAAUGCAUCGGUUUCAUUAGCUGUAGACACAUUUCAUAUGGGUAACUGGUACUUAUAAGGGUUACUAUUUGUCCAAUUCAUCCAAAUGCGUUCAGUCAAUGAAUGAUUGCAUAUUGCAUGCUGAUAGAAAGGUGGUGGAGAAAGGUUCUUGAGGGGGCGUGUGUGACGAAUGCUAGAUGAGGGGCUAAGGCCUAAUUGGGCUGGGGUAUUGAAGAAUUGUUCAUCAUGUCAGAGUCUUUUUCCAGAACUUGCCAUUGACUUGUACUCAUAAUGGCAUUCAAGGAACAAUAUCAGAGGGAGUAUAACAACUCCAGAAAGCAUAGCGCACAACAUAAUCUUGGUCUCAGGUACGUAUGAUCCUCUCAAUCUACGAUAUGGUGUAAAAGCCAUGAUGCUUCGCUGAGGAGAAAUUCUUCUGUUUCCGAGCGAGGAGUGGUGUUGUCUUCCUUGGUUCCCCUCUUUGGACACAGCUUCACUCGGGAUGCGUGAAUCCAGAUGUCGUGGGAAUCUGUGAGGACAGCGGUUCUGGGUACAGCAAUCACAGUAGCAGGUGGUCCAAAAGGGUAUCCUCCUUUCUUGGUCCUGUUCAACUGACGGAUAUACACCUUGUCACCGGGCUGGUAUGAAUGAGUAGGUUCCUGUGAAGGUAAGGGAAAACUGCGAAGAAACAUUGUCAUACAUACCAUUCGGUUUUAUCAACAAUUCCUGUACAUAUUGUUCUUGUAUUAGCUUUAAAUCCCCAGACAUUAUAACAAGCAGUUCCCUGGCCCAGGGUGUGGGAAAAGGUCAUCCCAUCAAAAUCUCAAAUGGAGAUAAUUUAGUCACCUUGUGAGGAAUCACUCUUAUCUCAGCUAAAAUAGCUGGUAGAUAUCUAGUCCAAUUUACCCAUGUUCCUGGGUAAAUUCUGGGCUUUUCCUUAAUAGUCCUAUUCAUCCUUUCAACUACCCCUGUAUUCUGUGGAUGAUAGGGUAUAUGAAACUGCCAGGUAACUUGCAAGAAUUUAGCAAGUUCCUGGGCAACCCUACUUGCAAAAACCGGGCCAUUAUCAGAGCCAAUCUGCAGAGGGCAGCCAUACCUGGGAAUAAUUUCAGUAACAAUAAUCUUCACUAGCAUCCUCCCUAGAUGUCACAAAGGCCUCAUGCCAUCUACUAAACUGAUUAACUAUGACCAGUAAGUAUUGCUGUUUCUUACCAAUUUUGGAUACAUGAAUAAAAUCAAUCUGUAAGUGUGUAAAAAGAGCAGUGUUCACACGAUCUUACAAAAGACUGUACAUGCUGCCUGAGAUUCCUAAUAUAAAAUGAAUUCAUGAAGAAUUGAAUGGUGCUUGCUAUGUGCCUGACUGAUGAAAAUAAAUCAGCUUGCUUCAAGUAUGCCUAUUCUUCAAGUAUGCCUAUUCUCCCCUCUUUAGAGAACAGAUCAUUUUGAUCUUUCUCUAAACCUUGUUUAAUCCAAAAGACAGAUUCUGGGUAUUAAAAAAAUAAUCUCAUAACCACUGAAGCGCUGGGCUGUCAUGUGUUGUAUGGUGAUAUUUAUUAUCAGCUGAGUGACCUGGUGACUGGCAUGAAGUAUUGUAGGAUGCCCUAGUGUGAUAGUAGUAGCAGUUUCAACAGCCAUUGCACAUGCUAUCAAUGCUCUGAGACACGCCGGCAUACCCUGUACCGGAGCUCGAACUACUUUGGAAAAGAAUGCUAUGGGACGCAUACCGCCUCCUUGCUCUUGUGCACAGACUGCGGCCAUGGUUUUACAAUUGUCCCAAGCAUACAAAUGAAAUGGUUUACAAUACACAGGUAGUCCUAAAGCCUGGGCUUGCACAAUAACAACUGUAAGGGCAAUAUAUGCAGCUAGCAUGUCUGGUGACCAGCAGACAUUUUCAGGGCUGUCAGAACGUACAGCCUCCCUUAGGAUUGAGUCAUAAUGGGAGCAUUCAGGGAUCCAUGGUGGCAGUAAUUAAUCAUGCCGAGGAAGGUGAGCAACUCCUUCCGAAUAGUGGGUGUAGGAAUCCUCUGAAUGACCUCAAUACAUUUUGGACUCAAUUGUCUGGUGCCUAAAGCCAGAACAAAACCUAAGUAUUCAACCUUUGAUUUACACAAUUGCAUUUUGUGUUUAACAACCUUGUGACCUAUAGUUGCUGACAGUAUCCACAGUGCUUGCCUCAUAGCUAGGGUUACAUAACAACAAAUCAUCAACAUUUUGCAAAAAGGACGGAACCAUGACCGGUGGUCCAUGUUUUUUAGAGUAUGUUGGAGUACCAACGAAUAAACAGCUGGGGAAUCCACAUAGCCUUGGGUAAGCGUGUCCAGGUAAACUGGCAGCCUUCAAAAAGUAAAAACCAUAAGUAGCUGUGUCUCUUGAUCAAUAGGUAUAGAAAAAAAUGUAUUACUUAAAUCAAUGACAGUGAAGCAAGUGGCAUCAUGUGGAAUGGCUGUAAUGAGGGAUGUCACAUCAGGGACAAUGGGUGAAAUGGGCACAAUUAAACUAUUCAGGGCUCUAAAGUCCUGAAUUAAGCGAUAUGCUGGCCAGUGGUGUUGGGAGUGGGUCUGGUGUUGUUCUUGCCUACCGGGCAUAUUUUGAGAAUUGUGGGGUUGUUGGGGUGUGUGGGGUUUCCUGGGGUUUCCUGGGGUGUGGACACUCAUUCCUCCAGUGGCCAUAUUGGCCACAGUUGAAACAAGUGUUCCUAUCUAUUCCUCCUUGGUUACCCCUGCCCCUAUAACCCUGAUUUCCCUGUCUCCAUCCCCUUGCCCCUCUUUGACCACCCCUUCCACGGGCUUUAUGUGCUCCAUCCCAUCCUUGCUCUCAUCCUGUGUAGCUGGACAUAAUAUGUUGCAAUCCCUGAGCAUAAUAAGCAACCUUACUUUCCUAAAUCUUUUCUUAAUUCAAAACAACCUGCAUUUUCCUUUUCUAUAACCUUGGUAAGAAACUCUGAGCUAUCCAAAUUGGCCCAGUCUGAAAUCAAUUGUUUCACAAGCAAAGAAUACUGUGGCAACAUAUUACCAAGGCAUGACUGUAUUUUAAAAAGAUCUAUAUCAUCUCCAGACAUCAAACCUGCCUCAUCCUUCCAACACUUGUAAAAUUUCUUUACAAAAAUCAUAUUACCAAUCUCUUCCUUUGCAUCCCGCUUAAAUGCCAAAGCAGUGAAUAUAGACUGCUUAUUCUUCCAUAAUCCCAACAUUUCAGCUUCCACCUUGUUCCAAAUUUUAGCACAUCUUACUGAAGUACUAAGCUCAUAAUCACCAAUUCAUUUCAAACCAUAUAACUCAUACUCAGCAUCCCAUGUAAUAUUACACGUCAUCUCACAAAGCAAUAUCUUUGUAGAAACACAUAAUGGGUACCCAGCAGAUAUGCCAAUACAGAAAUCACAUUUAUGGGCACACAACUACACACUCUGUCUCCCUCCUAGGAAACACGGAUAGACACAAUAUAAAAGCAAUCUUAAAC
This 5331-nucleotide long non-coding RNA is filed under the name Pelobates cultripes (western spadefoot toad). The record is from RNAcentral. Lineage: Eukaryota; Metazoa; Chordata; Amphibia; Anura; Pelobatidae.